This is a non-coding RNA of Corylus avellana, 371 nucleotides long. The record is from RefSeq and is a predicted model, not a curated record. Lineage: Eukaryota; Viridiplantae; Streptophyta; Magnoliopsida; Fagales; Betulaceae.
AGGUCCUCAUCACUGUGGAAGAAGGGUCUAUAGGAGGAUUCAGCUCUCAUGUUUCCCACUUCUUGGGAUUGAAUGGAUUACUUGAUGGAAAUCUCAAGUGGAGGGCUAUGAUGCUCCCUGACAGAUAUAUUGAGCAUGGUUCUCAGACAGACCAGAUCGAAGCAGCAGGCCUUACUUCAAAGCAUAUUGCAGCUACUGUUUCUUCAUUGAUAGGGGGAAAGAGGGAUGGCUUUCACCUUCUCAACGUAUAGAUAGAUUCUUCCCAGACCAAAAGUUGUACUCUUGUAUCUUAUAUGUGAGCUGCAGAUAGAAACUACUCCUAAAAUAAAUGUAUUCCUUGUUGGGGAAUGACAAAUAUACAGAUUUUUUUU